This 683-nucleotide ribosomal RNA is filed under the name uncultured bacterium. RNAcentral describes it as "bacterial SSU rRNA". It matches the Rfam family "Bacterial small subunit ribosomal RNA", at positions 197 to 883 of the family's 1533-position model. The record is from RNAcentral.
GAGAUUAAAGAUUUAUCGGUGAUGGAUGGGGAUGCGUCUGAUUAGCUUGUUGGCGGGGUAACGGCCCACCAAGGCGACGAUCAGUAGGGGUUCUGAGAGGAAGGUCCCCCACAUUGGAACUGAGACACGGUCCAAACUCCUACGGGAGGCAGCAGUGAGGAAUAUUGGUCAAUGGGCGAGAGCCUGAACCAGCCAAGUAGCGUGCAGGAUGACGGCCCUAUGGGUUGUAAACUGCUUUUAUAAGGGAAUAAAGUGAGAGUCGUGACUCUUUUUGUAUGUACCUUAUGAAUAAGGACCGGCUAAUUCCGUGCCAGCAGCCGCGGUAAUACGGAAGGUCCGGGCGUUAUCCGGAUUUAUUGGGUUUAAAGGGAGCGUAGGCCGGAGAUUAAGCGUGUUGUGAAAUGUAGACGCUCAACGUCUGCACUGCAGCGCGAACUGGUUUCCUUGAGUACGCACAAAGUGGGCGGAAUUCGUGGUGUAGCGGUGAAAUGCUUAGAUAUCACGAAGAACUCCGAUUGCGAAGGCAGCUCACUGGAGCGCAACUGACGCUGAAGCUCGAAAGUGCGGGUAUCGAACAGGAUUAGAUACCCUGGUAGUCCGCACGGUAAACGAUGGAUGCCCGCUGUUGGUCUGAAUAGGUCAGCGGCCAAGCGAAAGCAUUAAGCAUCCCACCUGGGGAGUAC